RNAcentral lists this unclassified non-coding RNA (812 nucleotides) under Venturia canescens. Its description in RNAcentral is "serine/threonine-protein phosphatase 1 regulatory subunit 10, transcript variant X2". The record is from RNAcentral. Lineage: Eukaryota; Metazoa; Arthropoda; Insecta; Hymenoptera; Ichneumonidae.
UUCAAUGAAAAAAUUCGUGUAGUGGGAGAAGAGAAAUAUAGACUAUGGCUUGACUCGUGUAUCGACGCUACGCUUAUUUCCUGUUCGGACACAGCAGCUCGUGCUACGUAGUUAGAUGGGAAGAUCAUCGCGAAGAUUUAUGCGGAUUUUCAAAGCUCUCUCUCUCAUCGCUAAAGUCGUCGUUCAUCGUGCUAGGAAGCCAUAUUUUUCGGGAGCUAAAUAGAAAGUCCACAGUUGCUGUGGAUCGAGAGACGCUCGUCCCAAAAACGAUCGAGAGGACGCUUUGUUGAAAAAAAAUCGUGUAUAGGAAAUGAUUGCUUUCUUAUACAUUGCUGUGAACAUUUGUUAUCCAUAAAAAGGAUUUUAAUUGUUGACAAAAAAACUAAUAUUUUCGUACUAUGAUACUGUUAUCGGGAAGUUUCGUCGGCUAGAGUUUUAACCACAAGGAUUACGUGCAAAAAUCGUCAAAAUGAUAGCGCUUCAGUCGCACGCUCUCGUCAUCCUUUUGUGUGCAAGAAAGCCAAAAUAAAAGACAAGAUGGCCGUCAACGAGGUGCUGAGAUCAAUAACCUUGGGUGAAUCGUUUCUCUCACGUGCCCCAUUUUUUCGGCUGGACUUCAAUCGAGUGUUGCCUCGUUCGAUAGCUCUGUUUUUAUUACGAAAUAAUGUUGAUUUCUCAAUUGCUCAUUACAACGAACGAGAAUUAAUGGAAGCAUUUUUCUUCAAUUUGUAAUUGACCAUACGUUUAUAGAUUUGACCCAAAAAGCAAAAAAAAAAACCGGAAAAUAUUGAAAAAUAACCUUUCUCGACAAA